RNAcentral lists this ribosomal RNA (688 nucleotides) under Ornithocercus galea. Its description in RNAcentral is "LSU rRNA". It matches the Rfam family "Eukaryotic large subunit ribosomal RNA", at positions 45 to 646 of the family's 3401-position model. Lineage: Eukaryota; Dinophyceae; Dinophysales; Dinophysaceae. The record is from RNAcentral.
AGUAAGCGGAGGACAAGAAACUAAACAGGAUCCCCAUAGUAAUGGCGAAUGAACAGGGAUGAGCUCAGCAUGGAAAUUGGGGCCUGUGGCUUUGACUUGUAAUCUUGUGAGGCAUUGCCAACAGAGGCGCAGAUGUAAGUCUCUUGGAAAAGAGCAUCAAUGAGGGUGAGAGUCCUGCUUGUCAUUUGCAGCCCCCCUGUGCACGGUGUGCCUUCUAAGAGUCACGUUCCUCGGGAUUGGAGCGCAAAGUGGGUGGUAACUUUCAUCUGAAGCUAAACAAUGGUUUGGGACCGAUAGGAAACAAGUACCAUGAGGGAAAGGUGAAAAGGACUUUGGAAAGAGAGUUAAAAGUGCCUGAAAUUGCUGAAGGGGAAGCGAAUGGAACCAGUGGUGCUGGGUGAGAUUGUCACACGCUGCAGGGAUUGGUUGCUGCAUCAGCGCAAGCGAUCUAGCGAUUGUUGAAUUGUAAGUGUGUGGUGUGUCUUGCCUUGUGUGUCAUUGUGGGUUUAUGCAUUAAGACAAUUCAAAGUGCAUGGCAAUAUGUUUCUGAAUCUAUGAAUGUGUUUUGUUAUGUUUAUGCAUAAGCUUCCUACUCUAUGUCUGGCUGCAGUGCUUGCCGUCCCCAUUUUUUGGAUAGAUGAGCUGAGCAUGUCCUUCUGCACAGAUCUUGGCUAAAUGGUUCUAUUCG